RNAcentral lists this ribosomal RNA (497 nucleotides) under Eucalanus bungii. RNAcentral's name for it is "eukaryotic LSU rRNA". The stretch from base 287 to 497 matches the Rfam family "Eukaryotic large subunit ribosomal RNA", at positions 1 to 203 of the family's 3401-position model. The record is from RNAcentral. Lineage: Eukaryota; Metazoa; Arthropoda; Copepoda; Calanoida; Eucalanidae.
GCCGUGUGAACUGCAGGACACAUGAACAUCGACACUUUGAAUGCAUAUUGCGGAAUUGAGCUUGUCUCAAUUCCAUAUCUGGCUCAGGGUCGGUUAAACACCAUCAGACUAAUUGCUGUCUGCAUUGGGCCUUCGCUCUGCUUUUGCAAAGCGCGGCUCCAAGAUAUGUCGUUCGGAUUUCAUUGACUCGACUCUUGGGAGCAAUCCUGGGUCGCUGUCUGUGGCCGUUUGUGCAUGGCGCAGGGACUUGAUUUCUUGUCCUGUAAGUGCCAAACAAUUAAAUUUUCGACCUGAGAUUAGAUAAGGUUACCCGCCGAAUUUAAGCAUAUUAAUAAGCGGAGGAAAAGAAAACAACUGUGAUUCCCUUAGUAAUGGCGAAUGAAACGGGAAUAGCCCAUCGCGGAACUGCAGGUCAUCUUGGCCUCGUGGAAUGUCGCGUUCGGGAGAGUCUUAUCGAGGAUUGGACGGCCAGUCAAAGUCCAACUUGACUGUGGCCA